This 496-nucleotide ribosomal RNA is filed under the name uncultured bacterium. RNAcentral's name for it is "partial 16S ribosomal RNA". It matches the Rfam family "Bacterial small subunit ribosomal RNA", at positions 28 to 506 of the family's 1533-position model. The record is from RNAcentral.
GAUGAACGCUGGCGGCGUGCCUAAUACAUGCAAGUCGAGCGAACAGACGAGGAGCUUGCUCCUCUGACGUUAGCGGCGGACGGGUGAGUAACACGUGGAUAACCUACCUAUAAGACUGGGAUAACUUCGGGAAACCGGAGCUAAUACCGGAUAACAUGUUGAACCGCAUGGUUCAACAGUGAAAGACGGUCUUGCUGUCACUUAUAGAUGGAUCCGCGCCGCAUUAGCUAGUUGGUAAGGUAACGGCUUACCAAGGCAACGAUGCGUAGCCGACCUGAGAGGGUGAUCGGCCACACGGGAACUGAGACACGGUCCAGACUCCUACGGGAGGCAGCAGUAGGGAAUCUUCCGCAAUGGGCGAAAGCCUGACGGAGCAACGCCGCGUGAGUGAAGAAGGUCUUCGGAUCGUAAAACUCUGUUAUUAGGGAAGAACAAAUGUGUAAGUAACUAUGCACGUCUGGACGGUACCUAAUCAGAAAGCCACGGCGAACUACGU